GAUGAAGAACGUAGCGAAAUGCGAUAAGUAAUGUGAAUUGCAGAAUUCAGUGAAUCAUCGAAUCUUUGAACGCACAUUGCGCCCGCCAGUAUUCUGGCGAGCAUGCCUGUUCGAGCGUCAUUUCAACCAUCAAGCCCCAGGCUUGUGUUGGUGCCCUGCGGCUGCCGCAGCCUCCCAAAACCAGUGGCGGGCUCGCUAUCACACCGAGUGCAGUAGUUUACUCUUCGCUCAGGGCGUGUGGCGGGUGCUAGCCGUGAAACCCCCAACUUCUCAAGGUUGACCUCGGAUCAGGUAGGAAUACCCGCUGAACUUAAGCAUAUCAAUAAGCGGAGGA
Molecule: unclassified non-coding RNA, 334 nt
Filed under: soil metagenome
Description: partial contains 5.8S ribosomal RNA, internal transcribed spacer 2, and large subunit ribosomal RNA
Rfam family: 5.8S ribosomal RNA (bases 1-120)
Source: RNAcentral